RNAcentral lists this transfer RNA (66 nucleotides) under Agrilinae sp. 1 ACP-2013. RNAcentral describes it as "tRNA-Tyr". The record is from RNAcentral. Lineage: Eukaryota; Metazoa; Arthropoda; Insecta; Coleoptera; Buprestidae.
UUAAAGUGGCUGAAACUAGGCGGUAAACUGUAAAUUUAUUUAUGAGAAUUAACUCUCCUUUAACAC